AGAGUUUGAUCCUGGCUCAGGAUGAACGCUAGCUACAGGCUUAACACAUGCAAGUCGAGGGGCAUCAGGAAGAAAGCUUGCUUUCUUUGCUGGCGACCGGCGCACGGGUGAGUAACACGUAUCCAACCUGCCCUUUACUCGGGGAUAGCCUUUCGAAAGAAAGAUUAAUACCCGAUGGCAUAAUGAUUCCGCAUGGUUUCAUUAUUAAAGGAUUCCGGUAAAGGAUGGGGAUGCGUUCCAUUAGGUUGUUGGUGAGGUAACGGCCCACCAAGCCUUCGAUGGAUAGGGGUUCUGAGAGGAAGGUCCCCCACAUUGGAACUGAGACACGGUCCAAACUCCUACGGGAGGCAGCAGUGAGGAAUAUUGGUCAAUGGGCGCUAGCCUGAACCAGCCAAGUAGCGUGAAGGAUGAAGGCUCUAUGGGUCGUAAACUUCUUUUAUAUAAGAAUAAAGUGCAGUAUGUAUACUGUUUUGUAUGUAUUAUAUGAAUAAGGAUCGGCUAACUCCGUGCCAGCAGCCGCGGUAAUACGGAGGAUCCGAGCGUUAUCCGGAUUUAUUGGGUUUAAAGGGAGCGUAGGUGGACUGGUAAGUCAGUUGUGAAAGUUUGCGGCUCAACCGUAAAAUUGCAGUUGAUACUGUCAGUCUUGAGUACAGUAGAGGUGGGCGGAAUUCGUGGUGUAGCGGUGAAAUGCUUAGAUAUCACGAAGAACUCCGAUUGCGAAGGCAGCUCACUGGACUGCAACUGACACUGAUGCUCGAAAGUGUGGGUAUCAAACAGGAUUAGAUACCCUGGUAGUCCACACAGUAAACGAUGAAUACUCGCUGUUUGCGAUAUACAGUAAGCGGCCAAGCGAAAGCAUUAAGUAUUCCACCUGGGGAGUACGCCGGCAACGGUGAAACUCAAAGGAAUUGACGGGGGCCCGCACAAGCGGAGGAACAUGUGGUUUAAUUCGAUGAUACGCGAGGAACCUUACCCGGGCUUAAAUUGCAGUGGAAUGAUGUGGAAACAUGUCAGUGAGCAAUCACCGCUGUGAAGGUGCUGCAUGGUUGUCGUCAGCUCGUGCCGUGAGGUGUCGGCUUAAGUGCCAUAACGAGCGCAACCCUUAUCUUCAGUUACUAACAGGUCAUGCUGAGGACUCUGGAGAGACUGCCGUCGUAAGAUGUGAGGAAGGUGGGGAUGACGUCAAAUCAGCACGGCCCUUACGUCCGGGGCUACACACGUGUUACAAUGGGGGGUACAGAAGGCAGCUAGCGGGUGACCGUAUGCUAAUCCCAAAAGCCUCUCUCAGUUCGGAUCGAAGUCUGCAACCCGACUUCGUGAAGCUGGAUUCGCUAGUAAUCGCGCAUCAGCCACGGCGCGGUGAAUACGUUCCCGGGCCUUGUACACACCGCCCGUCAAGCCAUGGGAGCCGGGGGUACCUGAAGUACGUAACCGCAAGGAUCGUCCUAGGGUAAAACUGGUGACUGGGGCUAAGUCGUAACAAGGUAGCCGUACCGGAAGGUGCGGCUG
This 1509-nucleotide ribosomal RNA is filed under the name Bacteroides fragilis. Its description in RNAcentral is "bacterial SSU rRNA". It matches the Rfam family "Bacterial small subunit ribosomal RNA". Lineage: Bacteria; Pseudomonadati; Bacteroidota; Bacteroidia; Bacteroidales; Bacteroidaceae. RNAcentral also lists the same sequence under 1 other name. The record is from RNAcentral.